GAUUUUUUAAUUCAACUAUUAGAUUUAUGAUUUAAUUAAAAUUGAUAUCGAGUUAAAGUGAAAACUGAACUAAAACUAAAAUUAAAAGAUAUUGUACUUUAUAACAAAUUACUUUUAAUUAAACCGCUAAGUUUUUUAUUCAAAAUCAAUCAAAAUUCAAUGAAAUGAAUCUCAACAAAACAUGACCAAAUUGAACAAACGCAAACGCAAUGGCAAUGGCAAUGGCAAUGGAUUGAAUUCAGGCAACAGACCAUCAACAAAUUAAUUAAAUCUAACAAAUUUCAACCGACCAAGAAGCAAUAAAAUUUCAACUAAGUAGAAAAGAAAGCGUAGUUGAUGAUGUCCAGAGACAUGAGAAUGGAAUAUUCAACAGCACAUCACAGAAGCUCGUCUUUUGUAGUACUGUAAUGGGUAGGCGACAUGUGAUGGUGAGCAAGGCAGAAAGAGACUAAAUGAGCUUGCUGACUGUGGAAGUGUUUCGGCUGCAUAAUUAUAUUGGAGAUUAGGAUCCAAAACUUCUUCUGUAACGUGGAAAACCAUUAACCCUAUAGCAAUUUUGGUAGGCUUAUCAUGAUGAAAACAUGUUUCAUCAGACAGUUCAAGAAAUCUCUACACUACACUCUUUUGCACCAUCAAGGAUCUCUGCCUUUUUUCCUUCAAAAUCAUAUUAUACACUAAAUUUAAUAAAGGAAAAAUGCUUCAUGAAAAUGACUUGUGAUCUUAAACUUUGAUAAUUCUGGUUCAACCUGUUAACAAACUUAAAUACAUAAUCUUACGAAAAACAAAAAGAAUCACAUUUGCGACAAGAACAAACCUUUUGUUUUACAUAUAACAGAGAAAAUCAGUUAAAAUAAACAUGAAAAACAACGAUUAAAAUAAAUAGCUUUGAGCUAUAACUCUUCCAACUAUUUUCUGUUUGCUGCAUUUGAUAGAAAGAUAGUUAAGACUUGAGAGAGAGAGGGAAGUGAAAUGGAGAGGUCAGGGAAGAUUGGAUAACCGGGAAUCAGUAUAGUAUUUCAAAAAAUAAUAAUAAUAAAAAAAAAAAAAAAAACACGAAGGCUGCUUGCCAAAGACUUGUUUAAAGGCCUUGGCCAAUGGCAUGAAGAAUAUAUAUAGGAAGAGUAUAAAAUGCGUGGCAAAGGCGGGCCCCCAUUUUUGAAUUUGAAACCAUCGGUUCCCCCACGCUCUUUCCUUCAAAAUUCAUUCCAUACUUAACACAUUUUCUAAUCCUAUAUGCUAAUUGCAAUGCCCGCUCUCUUCUUCUCCAAUUCCAAGCAAUCAACUUUUCAAAUACGGAUCUGCUAUUCCCUUUUCUAAACCUAUCCAUCCAUUCCAUUCUACUUUCACUCCCUUCCUUCCCAACAAAGUUCCCAUCCUUUUUCUUUUUUUUGGUUCGUUUUCAUUCAAUUUGAAGUUUUCCCAACACCUUUUGAAUUUUGUGCCAUCAAAGUUUUGGACUUGAAUUGGGUUUCCUAGAUAAUGAAGAAUCAAGGUGAUCUACGGUUGCCCGGAACUGAUCAUACGGUUGGUUUAUAUAUUUGUCAUUUGUUAGAUGAACUCGAGAUUUAUGUUUCUGUUUGAACCUCUGUUUUUUUGUAAUUUAUUUCCUCUUUGUCGGGUUGCUUUUAGGCGAUUGGAGAAAAGCGAAGCAGUGGCGGAUUGGGAGAGAAACAAGAAAGUCUUCGUGAACGGAUUAAAGUGCGAAAACUUGAUUCCGUGUUGAGGACAGAAGGUACUCUUUUUUGUUCAAGUUAUAAAUUUUGAGGAUUCUAUUGGUUGCUUUGUUCAUGAAUUUUGAGUGUUAACGGAUUGCUAGAAUUGAUUUCAGUUGAAUUACAAAGAAAUAGUAUUGUUUUUCAUUUAAAACUAGUAGCUUUUUCUGUAUUUAUAUCCUAUAAAUUGUAAAUUGCUAUUGCUAGUGUAGGUCC
RNAcentral lists this long non-coding RNA (1928 nucleotides) under Manihot esculenta (cassava). RNAcentral describes it as "long non-coding RNA (MESC_LNC004300)". The record is from RNAcentral. Lineage: Eukaryota; Viridiplantae; Streptophyta; Magnoliopsida; Malpighiales; Euphorbiaceae.